UGCCACUUAGGAUAUGACAGCACAGCC
Molecule: non-coding RNA, 27 nt
Filed under: Homo sapiens (human)
Lineage: Eukaryota; Metazoa; Chordata; Mammalia; Primates; Hominidae
Source: RNAcentral